GCGAAAGUAGCUCAGUUGGUAGAGCGCCACCUUGCCAAGGUGGAGGUCGCCGGUUCGAACCCGGUCUUUCGCUCCA
This 76-nucleotide transfer RNA is filed under the name Halobacteriovoraceae bacterium. RNAcentral describes it as "tRNA-Gly". It matches the Rfam family "tRNA". Rfam says of the family: Transfer RNA (tRNA) molecules are approximately 80 nucleotides in length. Their secondary structure includes four short double-helical elements and three loops (D, anti-codon, and T loops). Further hydrogen bonds mediate the characteristic L-shaped molecular structure. tRNAs have two regions of fundamental functional importance: the anti-codon, which is responsible for specific mRNA codon recognition, and the 3' end, to which the tRNAs corresponding amino acid is attached (by aminoacyl-tRNA synthetases). tRNAs cope with the degeneracy of the genetic code in two manners: having more than one tRNA (with a specific anti-codon) for a particular amino acid; and 'wobble' base-pairing, i.e. permitting non-standard base-pairing at the 3rd anti-codon position. The record is from RNAcentral. Lineage: Bacteria; Pseudomonadati; Bdellovibrionota; Bacteriovoracia; Bacteriovoracales; Halobacteriovoraceae.